Molecule: ribosomal RNA, 440 nt
Filed under: uncultured bacterium
Lineage: Bacteria
Description: partial 16S ribosomal RNA
Rfam family: Bacterial small subunit ribosomal RNA
Source: RNAcentral
CCUACGGGUGGCAGCAGUGGGGAAUAUUGCACAAUGGGGGAAACCCUGAUGCAGCGACGCCGCGUGAGCGAUGAAGUAUUUCGGUAUGUAAAGCUCUAUCAGCAGGGAAGAAAAUGACGGUACCUGACUAAGAAGCCCCGGCUAACUACGUGCCAGCAGCCGGGGUAAUGUGUAGGGGGCAAGCGUUAUCCGGAUUUACUGGGUGUAAAGGGAGCGUAGACGGCGAUGCAAGCCAGAUGUGAAAGCCCGGGGACCAACCCCGGGACUGCAUUUGGAACUGGAAAGCUGGAGUGUCGGAGAGGCAGGCGGAAUUCGUAGUGUAGCGGUGAAAUGCGUAGAUAUUAGGAGGAACACCAGUGGCGAAGGCGGCCUGCUGGACGAUGACUGACGUUGAGGCUCGAAAGCGUGGGGAGCAAACAGGAUUAGAUACCCCAGUAGUC